CCUACGGGAGGCAGCAGUGAGGAAUAUUGGUCAAUGGGCGCGAGCCUGAACCAGCCAAGUAGCGUGAAGGAUGACUGCCCUACGGGUUGUAAACUUCUUUUAUAAAGGAAUAAAGUGAGGCACGUGUGCCUUUUUGUAUGUACUUUAUGAUUAAGGAUCGGCUAACUCAGUGGCAGCAGCCGCGGUAAUACGGAGGAUCCGAGCGUUAUCCGGAUUUAGUGGGUUUAAAGGGAGCGUAGAUGGGUUGUUAAGUCCGUUGUGAAAGUUUUCGGCUCAACCGUAAAAUUGCAAUUGAUACUGGCAGACUUGAGUACAGUUGAGGUAGGCGGAAUUCGUAGUGUAGCGGUGAAAUGCUUAGAUAUCACGAAGAACUCCGAUUGCGAAGGCAGCCUACUAAACUGCCACUGACAUUGAUGCUCGAAAGUGUGGGUAUCAAACAGGAUUAGAUACCCUUGUAGUC
This 460-nucleotide ribosomal RNA is filed under the name uncultured bacterium. RNAcentral's name for it is "partial 16S ribosomal RNA". It matches the Rfam family "Bacterial small subunit ribosomal RNA", at positions 338 to 795 of the family's 1533-position model. The record is from RNAcentral.